CCUACGGGGGGCAGCAGUGAGGAAUAUUGGUCAAUGGACGAGAGUCUGAACCAGCCAAGUAGCGUGAAGGAUGACUGCCCUAUGGGUUGUAAACUUCUUUUAUAUGGGAAUAAAAUGUUCCACGUGUGGGAUUUUGUAUGUACCAUAUGAAUAAGGAUCGGCUAACUCCGUGCCAGCAGCCGCGGUAAUACGGAGGAUCCGAGCGUUAUCCGGAUUUAUUGGGUUUAAAGGGAGCGUAGGUGGAUUGUUAAGUCAGUUGUGAAAGUUUGCGGCUCAACCGUAGAAUUGCAGUUGAAACUGGCAGUCUUGAGUACAGUAGAGGUGGGCGGAAUGCGUGGUGUAGCGGUGAAAUGCUUAGAUAUCACGAAGAACUCCGAUUGCGAAGGCAGUUCACUGGACUGCAACUGACACUGAGGCUCGAAAGUGUGGGUAUCAAACAGGAUUAGAUACCCUGGUAGUC
This 460-nucleotide ribosomal RNA is filed under the name uncultured bacterium. RNAcentral describes it as "partial 16S ribosomal RNA". It matches the Rfam family "Bacterial small subunit ribosomal RNA", at positions 338 to 795 of the family's 1533-position model. The record is from RNAcentral.